This 363-nucleotide ribosomal RNA is filed under the name uncultured eukaryote. RNAcentral's name for it is "partial 18S ribosomal RNA". It matches the Rfam family "Eukaryotic small subunit ribosomal RNA", at positions 592 to 976 of the family's 1831-position model. The record is from RNAcentral.
CAAUAGCGUAUACUAAUGUUGUUGCAGUUAAGGAGCUCGUAGUUGAACUUCUGGUAGGAGUGUCCCGGCCUUUUUGUUUUUACAAAUUGUAUGCUGUGUGACAUCUCUGGCCAUCCUUCUUCUUUGUUUAAAGAAGAUCUUUCACUGUAAAAAAAUUAGGGUGUUCAAAGCAAAAGUUUCUUUGGAAUAUAUUAGUAUGGGAUGAUAAGAUAGGCUCUAGAUGCUAUUUUGUUGGUUUGCACAUUUAGAGAAUGAUUAACAGGGACAGUUGGGGGUAUUCGUAUUUACAUGUCAGAGGUGAAAUUCUUGGAUUUUGGAAAGACGAACUACUGCGAAAGCAUUUACCAAGGAUGUUUUCAUUAA